UACAGAGGGUGCAAGCGUUAAUCGGAAUUACUGGGCGUAAAGCGAGCGUAGUCGGUUAUUUAAGUCGGGUGUGAAAGCCCCGGGCUCAACCUGGGAAUGGCAAUGGAUACUGGCAGGCUAGAGUGCGGUAGAGGGUAGUGGAAUUCCCGGUGUAGCGGUGAAAUGCGUAGAGAUCGGGAGGAACACCAGUGGCGAAGGCGGCUACCUGGACGAUAACUGACGCUGAGACGCGAAAGCGUGGGGAGCAAACAGG
RNAcentral lists this ribosomal RNA (253 nucleotides) under uncultured bacterium. RNAcentral's name for it is "partial 16S ribosomal RNA". It matches the Rfam family "Bacterial small subunit ribosomal RNA", at positions 524 to 776 of the family's 1533-position model. The record is from RNAcentral.